This 492-nucleotide ribosomal RNA is filed under the name uncultured bacterium. RNAcentral describes it as "partial 16S ribosomal RNA". It matches the Rfam family "Bacterial small subunit ribosomal RNA", at positions 29 to 507 of the family's 1533-position model. The record is from RNAcentral.
AGUGAACGCUGGCGGUAGGCCUAACACAUGCAAGUCGAACGGCAGCACAGUAAGAGCUUGCUCUUACGGGUGGCGAGUGGCGGACGGGUGAGGAAUACAUCGGAAUCUACUUUUUCGUGGGGGAUAACGUAGGGAAACUUACGCUAAUACCGCAUACGACCUACGGGUGAAAGCAGGGGAUCUUCGGACCUUGCGCGAUCGAAUGAGCCGAUGUCGGAUUAGCUAGUUGGCGGGGUAAAGGCCCACCAAGGCGACGAUCCGUAGCUGGUCUGAGAGGAUGAGCAGCCACACUGGAACUGAGACACGGUCCAGACUCCUACGGGAGGCAGCAGUGGGGAAUAUUGGACAAUGGGCGCAAGCCUGGUCCAGCCAUACCGCGUGGGUGAAGAAGGCCUUCGGGUUGUAAAACCCUUUUGUUGGGAAAGAAAAGCAGCAGGUUAAUACCCCGCUGUUCUGACGGUACCCAAAGAAUAAGCACCGGCUAACUUCGUG